GAUUAAUCAAGGGCUCAUUCAAUUAAUCACCAUACAAAAUGUAGUUGAACAAUUAUAUCAUAAAUCCGGCUCGAUUAUAACAACUUGAGUCAAAACUUCAACCAACAAUUGGUUCCAUCAACCCUAGAUAAGCGUUUAGCUACUCAUAACAAAAUAAGAGGAAACUACUAAAUUGUUCAUAAUGUAAAAUUGCAAGAAUUAAAAGGAGAUAGAAAAACUCUAAUGUUUGGUUGAUCUUCUCACACUUGUUCUUGCCUCCAAAAAUAGUUUUAAAAAAACUUCGAACAAUCUUGGGCGAGUUUCUAAAGCUUAUAAGGGUUUACAAAAGUUUCCCCGAAAUUACACUUUGGUCCUCAAACUUCCAGCAGCGUGAACAGUGCACCGCGGUCACGGUCACUUGCGGUCGACCGCGGUGAGAGCUGACCUUUCUGCCUCACGAUUUUAAUCUAUCGCGGUUCACCGCGGUUCCACCACGGUCGCGAUAGACUUCUUGCCCAGGCCAUUUUCUGCUUCUUAGUGCUCAGGUACUUCUCGAGUGGGCAUUUUCUUCACAUUAUCACCUCCAAAACACUCCAUGUUGCUUCCUCUCAUAUAAUAUUCCCUGCGAAACAAAAGAACACUACUCAGAGCAUUUUGUUGGUAAUUUAUCUAUAAGACGGCAACAAAGUAUGGUCAUAUUAAGGUGUCAAUAUCAACUAUAUAGCCUACUAUCACUACCUCUUCUAAAAUUAAUAUUCAGAACAUCUGAUCGUAGAUGACAAAGAGCGUUCUAAGAUUAAAUUAGUAGCUAUCACAGAAAUUCAAGCAGUAAAAUGAAAGGUUAAUUGAAUUACAGUAACAAUUACACAUAUCUCAAAUGCACCAGAGGGGUUGCCUUCCAACUCCAUGUCAGAUCCCACGACCAUAUUCAGAUGCAAUUAACUGGGAUAUGUUGUACCAAAAAUUGCAAUAAUUUUUUUGCAUUCAUAUACAUAUGGGAGCAAACUAAAAGCUAAUACGGAGAUAUAGAAAACAGAUCAAAGACGUAGACAAACACUUUUGGUUGACUUUUAACUAUAAUACAUAUAGAUUUUCAUGGUUUCUAUAGUUAUACAUCGGGUCCUCCGGAUCCAGAGAAAUGAACAAAAUAAAAUAGCUAGGCUGACUUUUGGUUAGUAAGAGCGAUCAGGAAACCACAACACAUUUUAUUUUAGAUUCCUUCAGACUAUCAAAGAUUAUAGAAAAAACAAAUCUGUGAAGUGCCAAACAUUCCAAAUAAAAAAAGAAAACUGACUAUUUGAAGAAUAUGCACAUAAAAUACAUCAAGAAAAAUUAAUUUUCAUAAAAGUACUGAUAUCGAAUUAACAUGAUAAAGAUUUACAGCUUACAGGAUCAUCGAAAAGGAUACUAGAAGCAAAGUCAAACUGAGGAAGGAUAGCGAUAGGAUUUUUUUCAACUCCAACCGCCCCUUUGGAAAAGACCACUUAGUUUCUCUCUUUGAUUGUAAUCGUUGCAGUUCUAAUUCAAUAUAAAAUUCAAACAAAAAUACCCAAAAAUCAGUGGUUCAGAACUAGGAACAAAGUCAAACAAAGUAAAUUCUUUAUCCAAACCAGACAUUAAAAAUGGGAAAUCCAAAUUCUUAACACUAUUUGAUUAAACAUUAACGCUAAAUAAAAAUUGAGUAAUCGAGUACUUACUUGAAGCAAAUCUAUAAAGAUAGAAGAAGAUAGCUACUGUUCUUCUAUGUGGUUUUCAAGCCCUAGCUUUUUGCUAGUUGAAUAUUGUUUUGUUUAUAGGGGGAGAGAGAAGUGGGGGAGAUAAACCGAUAUGGAGAGUGAUUUUUGGGCUAAUAUGGGAGUAUCAGCCGAGAGAGAUUUCAAUCGGCAUUUGAAAAGAAAAACCUCUCUGAUGUAUAAAAGUGAAGGAGGGAACUGGGGAAAAGAUUGGUGGAAAUAUGAAAAAUUGGCGAUUUCCGGCAUAACUUUUACUAGCCAAGUAUUUUAAUUGUCAGCGAAAGGAUUUAUCGCCGGCUAUCAAUUAUUUGCCGGUAAAGAUUUUACUUAAAGUUUAAAUUAGCGGUAGUUAGUUUAUUGCCACUAAAUAUUGAUUGGUAAAAGUAAUUU
Molecule: long non-coding RNA, 2102 nt
Filed under: Nicotiana tabacum (common tobacco)
Lineage: Eukaryota; Viridiplantae; Streptophyta; Magnoliopsida; Solanales; Solanaceae
Description: long non-coding RNA (NTAB_LNC007096)
Source: RNAcentral